Long non-coding RNA from Folsomia candida, 1071 nucleotides. RefSeq lists it as uncharacterized. The transcript has 2 exons. The record is from RefSeq and is a predicted model, not a curated record. Lineage: Eukaryota; Metazoa; Arthropoda; Collembola; Entomobryomorpha; Isotomidae.
UUGAGCACCAAUGCCUCCCCACCAGUUGAAAAGUUAGCAGUUUUGCUUUCCACCUUCAAUACUUGAUUGAACGUCCAUUCCAUAUCACACCACGCCAAAACUUUUCCUCCUUCAUUUCAUCAUCAGUCAUCAACGGUGCACGAUUGGAGCAGCAGCGUCUCUUCUUGGAGUCUGGGUGCCACAAUUCCGUGUGAACCUUACUUUUCCAACUAUUUAGCCUGCAAAAAAAUGCAUUCUGUUCACGUCUACCUCGUCGGAUUUGGCUGCUGUGUGGUCGGAAUCUUAUUCAUCCUCCCCACCUCCACCCACGCCGCGCUCGAUUGCUACGUCUGUCGCGACUGCGAAACCACCUUUAACGCGUCCCACGUCGUCACAUGUUCGAAAAGCACGGCGCGUUGUGUCAAAAUAGUGAACGAGAACGGCGUGAAUGACCGGACUUGUGGCGACGCGAAUAAAGGGACGGGGUGCGGGGUGCAGGUUGGUACAUAUUUAUGUGCAUAAAGUAUUAUUGGGUAGAUACAAUUUCCUUCUUCAUGAUUCAUCACCAAAAUCGUUAAAAUUAACACAUUUUUAAUCAUUUCUCCGCUCUGGGUAUUUACUUAAGUUCUAGACGACAAAUGUAUAGUCAGAGUUGAGUAAUAGAAUGGUGGUCAGGUUUUUAAGCCAGCUUCGAUGAGUUACUAUUUUUCUGAAGACUUCUUAAACUUGAGAUCUCCUCCCCCAAAAAAUGUCUAAAUCUGGAGUGUAUAUAUUUUUUUUAAUUGGCAACGACCUGCUCCACAAAUUGGUUGUCCAGAAUUUUUAAAUAAAUUCCCACAGAGAAAAAAUGAUUUAAAUGUUCUGAUUUUGCCGAUGAGGCGUCGAGUCAUACGGUAGUAUUAUGUAUAUGUGUUUAAGUGCUUAUAUAACUGGGAGACAGACGAUCAAGUUAACAUUUAAUUAUUAAACUUUAUUAUACUUCCAGUGCAAAUGUUUCUUUAUAUGAGGAGCAGAUUCCUUACAAAAGUGUUUCAUUAUUAAUACCAUUUUUUUAGCUUCUUAUGACACCAAAUUAUUUUAAGUAAGUUAAUU